Molecule: ribosomal RNA, 254 nt
Filed under: uncultured bacterium
Lineage: Bacteria
Description: partial 16S ribosomal RNA
Rfam family: Bacterial small subunit ribosomal RNA
Source: RNAcentral
UACGUAGGGUGCAAGCGUUGUCCGGAAUUAUUGGGCGUAAAGAGCUCGUAGGCGGUCUGUUGCGUCGGCUGUGAAAACCCGGGGCUCAACUCCGGGCCUGCAGCCGAUACGGGCAGACUAGAGUUCGGCAGGGGAGACUGGAAUUCCGUGGUGUAGCGGUGAAAUGCGUAGAUAUCUGGAGGAACACCGGUGGCGAAGGCGGCGUCCUGGACCAACACUGACACUGAUGAGCGAAAGCCAGGGGAGCAAACGGG